This 136-nucleotide ribosomal RNA is filed under the name fungal endophyte sp. AP170. RNAcentral describes it as "5.8S ribosomal RNA". It matches the Rfam family "5.8S ribosomal RNA". From Rfam's summary of the family: 5.8S ribosomal RNA (5.8S rRNA) is a component of the large subunit of the eukaryotic ribosome. The record is from RNAcentral. Lineage: Eukaryota; Fungi.
ACUUCAACAACGGAUCUCUUGGUCUGGCAUCGAUGAGACGCAGCAUGCGAUAGUAAUGUGAAUUGCAGAUUCCGUGGUGACGAUCUUGAACGCACAUUGCAACCGGUGGUAUUCGCGGGUAUGCUGUCGACGUCAU